GACGAACGCUGGCGGCGUGCCUAAUACAUGCAAGUUGAGCGCUGAAGGUUGGUACUUGUACCAACUGGAUGAGCAGCGAACGGGUGAGUAACGCGUGGGGAAUCUGCCUUUGAGCGGGGGACAACAUUUGGAAACGAAUGCUAAUACCGCAUAAAAACUUUAAACACAAGUUUUAAGUUUGAAAGAUGCAAUUGCAUCACUCAAAGAUGAUCCCGCGUUGUAUUAGCUAGUUGGUGAGGUAAAGGCUCACCAAGGCGAUGAUACAUAGCCGACCUGAGAGGGUGAUCGGCCACAUUGGGACUGAGACACGGCCCAAACUCCUACGGGAGGCAGCAGUAGGGAAUCUUCGGCAAUGGACGAAAGUCUGACCGAGCAACGCCGCGUGAGUGAAGAAGGUUUUCGGAUCGUAAAACUCUGUUGGUAGAGAAGAACGUUGGUGAGAGUGGAAAGCUCAUCAAGGGACGGUAACUACCCAGAAAGGGACGGCUAACUACGU
Molecule: ribosomal RNA, 496 nt
Filed under: uncultured bacterium
Lineage: Bacteria
Description: partial 16S ribosomal RNA
Rfam family: Bacterial small subunit ribosomal RNA
Source: RNAcentral